RNAcentral lists this ribosomal RNA (99 nucleotides) under Neogale vison (American mink). Lineage: Eukaryota; Metazoa; Chordata; Mammalia; Carnivora; Mustelidae. The record is from RNAcentral.
AGAAGCAUUCCAUACCACCCUGAACGCGCCCGAUCUCGUUUGAUCUCGGAAGCUAAGCAGGGUCGGGCCUGGUUAGUACUUGGAUGGGAGAAGCAUUUA